Molecule: long non-coding RNA, 639 nt
Filed under: Brassica napus (rape)
Lineage: Eukaryota; Viridiplantae; Streptophyta; Magnoliopsida; Brassicales; Brassicaceae
Description: long non-coding RNA (BNAP_LNC021899)
Source: RNAcentral
UUGUAUAUAAAAUGUUCAAAACGCGGAUUUUAAAUUAGUUAUUAGUUAUUCCAGUAUCAAAAACUUAUAUAUGUUCUUAUAGAUCACAAUGUUACACAUUUACAGCUGUCUGAGUAAUCAUACCUUAGGUUGAACUUAUUAUAUCCUACUUUUGGUAGUCAUGAUAAUUUCAAAGCUGAACAAAUUGAUUAGAAAUGAAAAUUCAAUGCAAAAUGAAAUACGUGUUCAUUUCCAUUGACAUAUUCAAUAAAACAAUAAAUUUACCAUAUUUAAGAAGUUGGAUAGGUAUAUAGUAUCGGUUUAUAAAAAGUGUUUGUCAGCAUUCUUCAAAAAUAGACUGUUACAAGCUGAUCAUAAAUAUUUGCUUCUGAUUUGAAAAGUAGAUAGAUUACAUUACUGGCAUAUUUAAAAGGGCAAAUCUCCAAAAUAGCAUUUUUCUAAGUUUAUAUCACAAAAAUAGCACUCCAAAACUAAAAUGACCAAAAUAGCACAUUUCUAAGUUUAUCCUUUGAAAAUUUUAAUUUUUUCAUUUUUCAAAAUUUGAAAUCUUAUCCCCAAAACCUCAUUUCUCAACUCUAAACCCUAAACCUUAAACUCUAAACCCUAAACUCUAAACCCUAAACCCUAAACUCUAAACCC